RNAcentral lists this non-coding RNA (18 nucleotides) under Arabidopsis thaliana (thale cress). Lineage: Eukaryota; Viridiplantae; Streptophyta; Magnoliopsida; Brassicales; Brassicaceae. The record is from RNAcentral.
CAGCAGAACGACGUCUGG